This 32-nucleotide non-coding RNA is filed under the name Homo sapiens (human). Lineage: Eukaryota; Metazoa; Chordata; Mammalia; Primates; Hominidae. The record is from RNAcentral.
UCCAGAGAAAAUGUUGCAAAAAGAGUUACAGU